UGAUAGUCAGCGGCGGGCGCCUCCGCCUCC
This 30-nucleotide small RNA is filed under the name Bombyx mori (domestic silkworm). RNAcentral describes it as "ovarian small RNA-32468". Lineage: Eukaryota; Metazoa; Arthropoda; Insecta; Lepidoptera; Bombycidae. The record is from RNAcentral.